This 427-nucleotide ribosomal RNA is filed under the name uncultured bacterium. RNAcentral describes it as "partial 16S ribosomal RNA". It matches the Rfam family "Bacterial small subunit ribosomal RNA", at positions 355 to 774 of the family's 1533-position model. The record is from RNAcentral.
UGGGGAAUAUUGCACAAUGGGCGCAAGCCUGAUGCAGCCAUGCCGCGUGUGUGAAGAAGGCCUUCGGGUUGUAAAGCACUUUCAGCGAGGAGGAAGGGUAGUGUGUUAAUAGCACAUUGCAUUGACGUUACUCGCAGAAGAAGCACCGGCUAACUCCGUGCCAGCAGCCGCGGUAAUAGGGAGGGUGCAAGCGUUAAUCGGAAUUACUGGGCGUAAAGCGCACGCAGGCGGUUUGUUAAGUCAGAUGUGAAAUCCCCGCGCUUAACGUGGGAACUGCAUUUGAAACUGGCAAGCUAGAGUCUUGUAGAGGGGGGUAGAAUUCCAGGUGUAGCGGUGAAAUGCGUAGAGAUCUGGAGGAAUACCGGUGGCGAAGGCGGCCCCCUGGACAAAGACUGACGCUCAGGUGCGAAAGCGUGGGGAGCAAACA